RNAcentral lists this unclassified non-coding RNA (1918 nucleotides) under Polistes fuscatus (common paper wasp). Its description in RNAcentral is "tachykinin-like peptides receptor 99D, transcript variant X2". The record is from RNAcentral. Lineage: Eukaryota; Metazoa; Arthropoda; Insecta; Hymenoptera; Vespidae.
AAACGAGUGUUCUGUGUUUUUUUAUUGUUUGUUUUAUUAUUGAAAAUAAUUUCACGCCAAUUGUUUCAUUUAAAAUCCGAGAAAGAAUUUCGAGAAACGAGAGAAUAAUAAUAUUCGUUAAAGCGAAUGAAUUUAUAAGAGAAGUAGCACGAUUAAUUAUUCAUUUCUCGUCUAAUACUCGUCGUCAUGUUGAUCAAAAAUUAUCUUCGCGUCGAACUAUGCGAUUUAAAAUCGUGGCGUCGCGUAUCGAAUACGUUGAAACAACAAUGAUCGUCAAAAUUCAAAUGAAUGUGUCGAUAAUUCGUGACAAUGGAACAAAAAUAUAAUCAUGAGGACUAAUAUUGAAAAAUACAUUGACAACUUUUGUCCAACGAUCUAAUCAAAUUCCUUUGGAAUCGAAUUAAAUGAUUUAUCAUCGACGAAGGUGAACAUUGUUAAAGUACAUCGAAAUUAAAUCAAAAAAGAUAUCGAGAAAAAUAUAUAUAAAAAAAAAAAUAAGAAAGAAAAGAUAAGAGAGAGAAGUAAUAAUUCGUGAUGCAGUCGUUGGAAAAUACAUUGAAUUUAACAAACAAUUAUCCUUGGAAUACAUCGUUACUGUGGUUCGACAAUUAUACCUUCAACCUGUCAUGUGGGGAAUGUUUAAACAAUACGAAUUUGACGGAUCUCGAGUUGAGAAAUCAAUUCGUACUGCCAUGGUGGAGACAAAUUAUUUGGAGUUUGCUUUUCGCCGGUAUGAUCAUAGUUGCAACCGGUGGAAAUUUAAUAGUGAUAUGGAUAGUAUUGGCGCACAAAAAAAUGCGCACAGUGACCAAUUACUUUUUGGUCAAUUUAAGUAUAGCCGAUGCUAUGGUGUCUACGUUGAACGUUACAUUUAAUUACAUUUACAUGCUCAACAGUCAUUGGCCGUUUGGUACACUUUACUGUAAGAUUUGCCAAUUCAUCGCGGUACUCACAAUUUGUGCCAGUGUCUUCACUCUGAUGGCUAUAUCGAUCGAUCGGUUCAUGGCCAUAGUGAAUCCAUUGAGACCAAGAAUGGGUCGUAGAGCAACUCUCUGUGUCGCUGUGGUCAUUUGGAUCGUCGGUGCAAUUCUUUCCUUUCCAAUGCUACUCUUUAACACCACCUACACGCAAAAUUUCGCUAAUGGUGAAGUACGAGUAAUAUGUUACAGCGAUUGGCCUAACAGGGAUGACGAUGGUCUUAGCUUUCAGGAAUAUCUAUACAACGUAAUCUUUAUGAUCCUAACAUAUUUUCUACCUAUCGGCUCGAUGACUUUCACUUAUGCAAGAGUCGGUGCAGAAUUGUGGGGCUCGCAAAGCAUCGGGGAAGCUACCGCAAGACAAUUGGAAAAUAUUCGAAGUAAACGAAGGGUCGUGAAGAUGAUGAUCGUAGUGGUGGUAAUAUUCGCAGUCUGCUGGUUACCACUUCACGUUUAUUUCAUUGUAACAUCGUACCUGCCAGAAAUUACCAAAGAAUCCUACAUCCAAGAAUUAUUUCUUGGUAUUUAUUGGCUAGCCAUGUCUAAUAGCAUGUAUAAUCCUAUCAUUUAUUGUUGGAUGAAUUCCAGAUUCCGUCGUGGUUUCAUACAAUUUUUUUCAUGGUGUCCAUGGGUGCGGGUCACCCCAGAACCAUCUCUAUCCCGUUCAGAAGCUGUUACAUCGCGAUACAGUUGCACCGGAAGUCCCGAAGCUAAUUCAAGGAUACCACGGAACGAUAAAAGAAAGAAAAUGCGUUUGAGAUCAAAAACUAAGGAAAAUAGACGAUAGAGACGGAAAAGAUUCAAAUUUCAAAUUUUCCUCUUAUUUCCCAAGAGAACAAUAGUCGUGAAAUAGAAAAUACGCACGGUUAGAAUACCGCUGCAUCUACAAUCAACGAGAGGAGAUGGAAAUGAAAGAUUUUUGGAACAUCAAAUUCGUGGAA